CCGAAUCUGUACUGCAUCUCCACUACUCUCGUGCUGUAAAUGGCACACACACGCACGCACACACACACCACUAAUUAUAAGAUUACUCUCUCUCUCUCUCUCUCUCUCUCUCUCUCUCUCUCUCUCUCUCUCUCUCUCUCUCUCUCUCUCUCUCUCUCUCUCUCUCUCUUCCAUUGAUUAGUAAAUGAGAUAAAUAUGAAUUUUAAUAAGCAAAACAGAAAAUUAAAAAUGGCAAAAGAUUUUAAAACGCUUUGCUUUCUGUUGAUUUCAUUUUUUAUUGUUAAUUUAAUGAAAGCAAGCAAAAAAUAUUUAAAAUAAAAAUAUAUAUAAAGAAAAAAGCAGAGGUCGGAUAAAUAUACAAAAAAAAGAAAGAAAACAAAACAAAACAAAUUUAUUUACCAACAACAAAAAUAAUGAUGGAAAAAAAAAGAAGAAAACUUAUUACAUUUUUUUUUAUAUAUAUUUACUCACCACCACCACCACCAUCACUACUACUUCUAUUACUACUACUACUACUACUACGCUGCCGCUGCUACCGCCGCUGCUGCUAUAAUGAAUUAGGAAGGUUAUUAUUAUUACCACGUGACUAAUAAUAAUAAUGCAUUGCUGUUUGUUAAGCA
This is a long non-coding RNA of Portunus trituberculatus (swimming crab), 620 nucleotides long. RefSeq lists it as uncharacterized. NCBI's taxonomy places the organism in Eukaryota, Metazoa, Arthropoda, Malacostraca, Decapoda, Portunidae. The record is from RefSeq and is a predicted model, not a curated record. The transcript has 2 exons.